This 800-nucleotide ribosomal RNA is filed under the name uncultured bacterium. RNAcentral's name for it is "bacterial SSU rRNA". It matches the Rfam family "Bacterial small subunit ribosomal RNA", at positions 8 to 793 of the family's 1533-position model. The record is from RNAcentral.
AGAGUUUGAUCAUGGCUCAGGACGAACGCUGGCGGCGUGCCUAAUACAUGCAAGUCGAGCGGACGAAUCGAAAGCUUGCUUUUGAUUCGUUAGCGGCGGACGGGUGAGUAACACGUGGGCAACCUGCCCUGUAGACGGGGAUAACACCGAGAAAUCGGUGCUAAUACCGGAUAACACGAAAUGUCGCAUGACGUUUCGUUGAAAGACGGCGCAAGCUGUCGCUACAGGAUGGGCCCGCGGCGCAUUAGCUAGUUGGUGAGGUAACGGCUCACCAAGGCGACGAUGCGUAGCCGACCUGAGUGGGUGAUCGGCCACACUGGGACUGAGACACGGCCCAGACUCCUACGGGAGGCAGCAGUAGGGAAUCUUCCGCAAUGGACGAAAGUCUGACGGAGCAACGCCGCGUGAGCGAAGAAGGCCUUCGGGUCGUAAAGCUUUGUUGUUAGGGGAAGAACAAGUAACGCAGUAACUGGCGUUACCGUGACGGUACCUAACGAGAAAGCCACGGCUAACUACGUGCCAGCAGCCGCGGUAAUACGUAGGUGGCAAGCGUUGUCCGGAAAUUAUUGGCGUAAAGCGCGCGCAGGCGGUUCCUUAAGUUCUGAUGUGAAAGCCCACGGCUCAACCGUGGAGGGUCAUUGGAAACUGGGGGACUUGAGUGCAGAAGAGGAAAGCGGAAUUCCAGUGUAGCGGUGAAAUGCGUAGAGAUGUGGAAGAACACAGUGGCGAAGCGGCUCUCUGUCUGUAACUUGACGCUGAGCGCGAAAGCGUGGGAACAAACAGAUUUAGAUACCUUGUAG